AGCCUGAACGCUGGCGGCGUGGCUAAGACAUGCAAGUCGUACGGAGGUAGCAAUACCUCAGUGGCGAACGGGUGAGUAAUGAAUCGCUAACGUGCCCUGGACUUCGGGAUAGCUAUCCGAAAAGGGUAGGUAAUACCGGGUGAUAUACCCUUUCCGCAUGGAAGGGGUCUCAAAGGUCCGCCGGUCUUCGGUGGAUGGUCUGGGAGCGGGCGAUUUCGUAUCAGCUAGUUGGUGGGGUAACGGCCCACCAAGGCGACGACGCGUAGCCGGACUGAGAGGUUGGCCGGCCACAUUGGGACUGAGACACUGCCCAGACUCCUACGGGGGCUGCAGUAACGAAUCUUCCGCAAUGCACGAAAGUGUGACGGAGCGACGCCGCGUGGAGGACGAAGUUCUUCGGAAUGUAAACUCCUGUCAGGGAAAGAAAGUUCUGAUCUACCCCAGAGGAAGAGGCGGCUAACUCUGCGCCAGCAGCCGC
Molecule: ribosomal RNA, 478 nt
Filed under: uncultured bacterium
Lineage: Bacteria
Description: SSU rRNA
Rfam family: Bacterial small subunit ribosomal RNA
Source: RNAcentral